This 505-nucleotide ribosomal RNA is filed under the name uncultured bacterium. Its description in RNAcentral is "bacterial SSU rRNA". It matches the Rfam family "Bacterial small subunit ribosomal RNA", at positions 15 to 507 of the family's 1533-position model. The record is from RNAcentral.
GAUCAUGGCUCAGGAUGAACGCUAGCGGCAGGCUUAACACAUGCAAGUCGAGGGGCAGCAUGACACGGAGAUUCGUCGAAGUGUUGAUGGCGACCGGCGCAAGGGUGCGUAACGCGUGAGCAACUUGCCCGUUUCUGGGGAAUAACCGGUGGAAACGCCGACUAAUACCCCAUAGUAUAACGAAGAGGCAUCUUUUUGUUAUUAAAGAACUUCGGAAACGGAUAGGCUCGCGUGACAUUAGCUAGAUGGCGGGGUAACGGCCCACCAUGGCGACGAUGUCUAGGGGUUCUGAGAGGAAGGUCCCCCACACUGGAACUGAGACACGGUCCAGACUCCUACGGGAGGCAGCAGUGAGGAAUAUUGGUCAAUGGGCGAGAGCCUGAACCAGCCAAGUCGCGUGAGGGAUGACGGUCCUAUGGAUUGUAAACCUCUUUUGUCGGGGAGCAAGGGCUCUACGUGUAGAGUGGUGAGAGUACCCGAAGAAAAAGCAUCGGCUAACUACGUG